Molecule: non-coding RNA, 83 nt
Organism: Ataeniobius toweri
Lineage: Eukaryota; Metazoa; Chordata; Actinopteri; Cyprinodontiformes; Goodeidae
Source: the annotation of a GenBank genome assembly
UGCAUGGUGGCACAGUUGGUAGCAUUGUUGCCUUCCACCAAGAAGGUCUUGGGUUCAAAUCCCAGCCAGGGGUCUUUCUGCAU